This 250-nucleotide ribosomal RNA is filed under the name uncultured prokaryote. RNAcentral describes it as "partial 16S rRNA". It matches the Rfam family "Bacterial small subunit ribosomal RNA", at positions 525 to 775 of the family's 1533-position model. The record is from RNAcentral.
ACGUAGGUGGCAAGCGUUGUCCGGAAUUAUUGGGCGUAAAGGGCGCGAAGGUGGGUUGUUAAGUGUAUUGUAAAAGUGCGGGGCUCAACCCCGUAAAGCGAUGGAUACUGGCAUUCUUGAGUGCAGGAGAGGAAAGCGGAAUUCCCAGUGUAGCGGUGAAAUGCGUAGAUAUUGGGAGGAACACCAGUGGCGAAGGCGGCUUUCUGGACUGUGUCUGACACUGAGGCGCGAAAGCCAGGGGAGCGAACGG